Molecule: non-coding RNA, 106 nt
Organism: Acanthosepion pharaonis
Lineage: Eukaryota; Metazoa; Mollusca; Cephalopoda; Sepiida; Sepiidae
Source: the annotation of a GenBank genome assembly
CUGCCAUAUCACGUUGAAACAUCGGUUCCUGUACUAUCACCAGAAUUAAGCAAUGUCGAGCCUGGUCAGUACCUUGAUGCGUGACCACUUGGGAAUACCAGGUGUU